UUACUUUCUUCCCGGAUACCCCGCCCAAACCACGUAACUGUUUGACUCAACAGUGUAAUAUUCAGCCGGCACGCCGCGUCAUCGGCGCUCAUGCUAGCAGACGUCCGGCCUCUUCUUUUUUCCAGCUCCGCAGAAGUAGGGCAAAGUAACACCAAAGCCCCACAGGAAUUUACUGGAGAACAAACUCGGGACAUUAUUGCAAUCAGGAGAAGGAAACUCUUUUGUUUUUAAAGUUUUGUUUAACGUGCAACACGCUGGUGAACAGUCCGGAAGCUUGUUUUUCUCUUCGGCGUCGGAGAUUUCCAGGGUUUAUGCUUCUGUGGCAGACCCUACAUAAACUCGGAUUCAGUCGGUUUGGCUGAAGUCUGUUCCGCGCGCGUGUGUAUGUGUGGGUUAGUGCCUCACCCGGUCAGGUGAUUGAGGUGUGUCUAAUCACUAGAGCCUGUGGAGAUGCUUUGUUCUAUUCUACCUGUUGGUUUACUGAAAGAUGAUCGCAUGCUCAGCGGUCAACUGAAUCCUGUAUUGAACUGGGACUCUGCUCGGGGACACAUGAUCAAAUAACAUACGAGGCAUUUUUUAAAUAUCUUUAAGAAACAACAAACAAAACGUGCUUUUGGUGUGAAGUUAUCGCUGAGCCGCUUUAUUUGACGACACAAAAAAUCAAUUGAAUCGCCUGGUCUCACUUUACCAUGGAAACGCUUUACAGCGAUCGUAAUAGGAUUUUUUUUUCUAGCAGUUAACAGAGAGAGACUUUACAAAGAAAUUAUAUACUUUUCUGGGAUUAUAGUGGGACUUAACUUUAUAAACUAAUACGAACAAAUAAUAAUAAGAAAAACUAAUAAUCCGCUUUCUAUCGACUAACUCGGAUUGUGUGUGGAAACGCCAUGGCUCUCUCUCAGGUUCAGUGUCUUGAUGACAAUCAUGUGAACUGGCGUCUAAAUGAAUCCAAACCGGAGUUUUUUUACAGCGAGAAUCAGCGGCUCGCGCUUGAAGCGCUUAUUACGAAAGGACGCGACGCGUUUGAUGCCUAUAUGAAAGAGCACGAGCUGCGUCCUUUCCUGUCGGAACCCGAACUCGAGCGGUUGCGUCGGAGCAUAGAAGAUUACAAACCCGGUUCUGAGCAUCAAAAAACAGAUGGUACAGCGGAGGGAGAGGACGGAGCGGUGUCUUUGCAGUACUGGCCGGACCGCUCUGAUAUCUAUAUCCCAAAUCUAGACCUCGGUUGGCCAGACUGCAGUUCUUACAGAGGAGUGACGCGUGUCAAUGUCUACACGCAGCCACCAAUGGACGGACAGACGCAUAUAAAAGAGGUCGUGAGAAAGGCCAUAGCUCAAGCACAGAAGAUGAUUGCUGUGGUAAUGGACGUUUUCACAGAUGUUGACAUUUUUAAGGAUCUAAUAGAGGCUGGAUUCAAAAAGAAAGUAGCUAUAUACAUUAUUAUUGAUUAUGCAGCUUUACAGCACUUCCUACUUAUGUGUGAGAGAGCCAACAUGCACAGAGGACACCUCAAUAAUCUGCGGGUGCGAUGCAUCGGCGGAUCCGAAUUCUACACUCACUCGGCUCAGAAAGUGCAUGGCUCACUGAGUCAAAAAUUCAUGUUUGUGGAUGGAGACCGUGCAGUGUCUGGAUCAUACAGUUUUACAUGGACAGCUUCUCGUUUGGACCGCAACAUCAUUACAGUCCUGACAGGACAGGCCGUUGAAACUUUUGACAAGCAGUUCCGUGAACUGUACCUGAACUCUCGUGGGGUCAACCUAACCAAGAUCCCAUUGGCAGACCCUCCGGAGCCUGACCCUGUCCCAAUUGCCAUUCCUUCCCCCGUUUCCGUAACUGUUGCAAGAAAAUUAAUUAACCCUAAAUAUGCAUUGGUUAAUGUAGAUGCAGCAAGCAAAGCCUCUUCAGACAAGGCUAGUGCCAAGAACAGUAACUCCAAGAAUCCUAUGGUCCAGAUUCCCAAGCCUCAAAGGGAGUUGACGGAAGGACCGCAAAAGCACCCAGGACUUGUAGGUCUGCCAAAGGCCAAUCUUAUUCCCUACUUGCCCACCUGGCCAGAGCCAGACCCACCCAGUGAUGUUAUUGGGUUUAUUAAUAUCCGUGAUACAAGCAAGCCAGCACCAGUGCAUUUAAUGCGCUCUCAAAUGUUUGAAACAUCUCAAGCGAUCCGUUUUAAAGACCCAUUCACUGCCCCACCUGAGGAACCGUUACCAGAUAAAGCAAGUCCUCGUCCUAAAACAAAAGAAUUAUCUAAAACAGCAGCUGUAGAUGCAAAUGUUCAAUCAAUUACCCAACCUCAGGCAGAGACUAACUCUAAUAAUGCCCAUCAAGAUAUACCAACCAAUACAUCCCAUUCACCAAGCCCUCCAAUCCAACAACAAGACCCCAAAGCGAGCCCUCCUCUACAAGAGCAGGAGUCCAACCCUGAACCAGCAGAGGUGCAGCAGGCUUCAGAAAUGCCUGUGCCCAAGCCACGCACUCUUCAGUUGGUGGUUAAUAGACUGGAGGGCUUUGGAGACCCAGAGGUCACUUUAGUCAGAAGCGAGGAAAACCAAACAAGAAAUGCAGACACUCGAGACAACGAUGCUGACAGCACUGCUGUGACCUGUGCACAUUCAUUAAAGGAUAAAGAUGAGAAUUCCACAACGUCAGAUGAAUACUAUGAAUGUACUGACUCCGACAGCAGUGAUAAACUCCCUAACGGAAGAUUAACGGGUUCUGGUCGGGUUGGAGACCAUAGCCCUGAUGUGCUCAACGUGAUGGCCCGCUUCUCUCAAUCCAUGCUGGACUUGAGAUCGGAUGACAUCAAUCAAAACACUGCUGAGAAAAAUCUGCUGAACAUGCACAACAGAGACAAAACAAAGCACUAGCGGAUACAGCAGCUGGAGCGUGUGUGUAGUACCUGGAUAGAGAGCCCUGCUGAUCAUGCCAGCUUUACCAGAUGGUCUCCAGGUCACCUGUUUGAGAUGCUCAUGGCCGGGCCAAAGUGGUGAUUGGUAAACCUGGAGUAUUACAUAGACCCCCUAAAAGCAGUGGGCAUGUGAGUGGGGGCCACAGGUACUGUCAGGGGAAGAUGUUUGCUGCCCUCCCCUCAAAUGGAUCAGGCCAACAAAAUCUAAAGCGCUCCGGCUUGUCCCCUAGAAGAUAAAGCCCUGCCUAUACAAUAGAAGGACAGUGAAUCAGUCAAACUCCCACUCAGUGGUUCAUGCAUUCUCAGUCUCUCUCCCCUUUACUUCGGACCUCUAAAACAAGUCUCCAUCCCCUCGUAGACAGGUCGAGACUCGUACACCAUUAGGUAUCUCUUUAUAUAAACUUGCCAGUGUCAAACACCUCAGGCAGAAGGUUCCAUUGAACACGUUUGGUUUUGCUUUGGGGAAUAAAUUGUUGACACAGAGGCACAAUGAAAAUUAACCAAUUUAUGGUGGCUUUCUUCCCAGAAUAAAAACAAACAAACAAAAAAACAACUACUACUUUGUAUUGAGUACAAAGGCAUGAAUGUACAAUGAUGUAGCCACCAAUGUCUACUGUUAAAGACUUCAACUGGAGUUUAACUGGAUCUUUAAACUGACAAGAGUGUUACGGUGGCAAAUAAACACUGACACUGAUUGUGACAAGCAAAACUUAUUACAAGCAGCUUUACUCUUUAUUGACGUGCCUGUGAGUAAUCCGGACUAGUGCAAGAAUUUGGUGGUGGAUUUGUGACCAUUGUGAUGGCGAUUUCAUAUUCACCUCAAAAGGACAUUGAAAAGGUUAAGGUACAAACUGAUUUCCGAGCCACUUUGUGCAGUUGUGAAUUGACUGGUUAUGACUGAGACCAUUAGCCAAGACCCAGACCAAGAAAUUUGAUCCAGACCCAGUUUUGAGCCCCUAACCACAGGACCUAAGUAAUAAGACCCAGACCAAAUCCAAGUUUAUUGGGUUUUGAGGGGGACUCUAACUCUGUCAGUAUUUCCAGGAAUUCUGUUUCUUAUAUUGUG
This is an RNA transcript of Carassius carassius (crucian carp), 3971 nucleotides long. It is a transcript of the gene named protein FAM83G-like, with no coding region annotated. The transcript has 6 exons. The record is from RefSeq and is a predicted model, not a curated record. Lineage: Eukaryota; Metazoa; Chordata; Actinopteri; Cypriniformes; Cyprinidae.